AACGAACGCUGGCGGCGCGCUUAACACAUGCAAGUCGAACGAGAAGGCGUAGCAAUACGCUUGUAAAGUGGCGAACGGGUGAGGAAUACAUGGGUAACCUACCCUCGAGUGGGGGAUAACCCGCCGAAAGGCGGGCUAAUACCGCGUACGCUUCCGAUCUUGCGGGAUCGGAAGGAAAGCUGUCCCUUGGGGAUGGCGCUCAAGGAUGGGCUCAUGUCCUAUCAGCUUGUUGGUAGGGUAACGGCCUACCAAGGCAUCGACGGGUAGCUGGUCUGAGAGGACGAUCAGCCACACUGGCACUGCGACACGGGCCAGACUCCUACGGGAGGCAGCAGUGAGGAAUAUUGCGCAAUGGGCGAAAGCCUGACGCAGCGACGCCGCGUGGGGGAUGAAGGUCUUCGGAUUGUAAACCCCUUUCGGGUGGGAGACGGCCCUAGACAACUAGGGCGGACGGUACCGCCAGAAGCAGCCACGGCUAACUUCGUGCCAGCCGCCGCCGUAA
Molecule: ribosomal RNA, 502 nt
Filed under: uncultured bacterium
Lineage: Bacteria
Description: bacterial SSU rRNA
Rfam family: Bacterial small subunit ribosomal RNA
Source: RNAcentral